Molecule: ribosomal RNA, 494 nt
Filed under: uncultured bacterium
Lineage: Bacteria
Description: partial 16S ribosomal RNA
Rfam family: Bacterial small subunit ribosomal RNA
Source: RNAcentral
GACGAACGCUGGCGGCGUGCUUAACACAUGCAAGUCGAACGGUGAAGCGCCUUCCUUUUUGGUGGGUGUGGAUGAGUGGCGAACGGGUGAGUAACACGUGAGUAACCUGCCCCCUUCUUCUGGAUAACCGCAUGAAAGUGUGGCUAAUACGGGAUAUUCUGGGUCUGUCGCAUGAUGGGUCUGGGAAAGAUAUUGUUUCGGUUGGGGAUGGGCUCGCGGCCUAUCAGCUUGUUGGUGGGGUGAUGGCCUACCAAGGCGGUGGCGGGUAGCCGGCCGGAGAGGGUGGACGGGCACACAGGGACUGAGACACGGCCCAGACUCCUACGGGAGGCAGCAGUGGGGAAUAUUGCACAAUGGGCGCAAGCCUGAUGCAGCGACGCCGCGGGAGGGAUGGAGGCCUUCGGGUUGUGAACCUCUUUCGCCAGUGAAGCAGGCCUGCCUCGUUUGUGGGUGGGUUGACGGUAGCUGGAUAAGAAGCGCCGGCUAACUACGUG